ACUCCUACGGGAGGCAGCAGUAAGGAAUAUUGCGCAAUGGACGAAAGUCUGACGCAGCGACGCCGCGUGGGGGAUGAAGGUCUUCGGAUUGUAAACCCCUUUCGGCAGGGAAGAUGGAACGGGUAACCGUUCGGACGGUACCUGCAGAAGCAGCCACGGCUAACUUCGUGCCAGCAGCCGCGGUAAUACGAAGGUGGCAAGCGUUGUUCGGAUUUACUGGGCGUACAGGGAGCGUAGGCGGUUGGGUAAGCCCUCCGUGAAAUCUCCGGGCCUAACCCGGAAAGUGCGGAGGGGACUGCUCGGCUAGAGGAUGGGAGAGGAGCGCGGAAUUCCCG
This 335-nucleotide ribosomal RNA is filed under the name uncultured bacterium. RNAcentral describes it as "bacterial SSU rRNA". It matches the Rfam family "Bacterial small subunit ribosomal RNA", at positions 335 to 672 of the family's 1533-position model. The record is from RNAcentral.